This 68-nucleotide transfer RNA is filed under the name Hestiasula hoffmanni. RNAcentral describes it as "tRNA-Leu". The record is from RNAcentral. RNAcentral also lists the same sequence under 1 other name. Lineage: Eukaryota; Metazoa; Arthropoda; Insecta; Mantodea; Hymenopodidae.
UCUAAUAUGGCAGAAAUAAGUGCAGUGGUCUUAAGUUCCACAUAUAAAGUUUAUUACUUUUUUUAGAA